Molecule: ribosomal RNA, 270 nt
Filed under: uncultured archaeon
Lineage: Archaea
Description: partial 16S ribosomal RNA
Rfam family: Archaeal small subunit ribosomal RNA
Source: RNAcentral
CAGCACCUCAAGUGGUCAGGAUGACUAUUGGGCCUAAAGCAUCCGUAGCCUGCUUUGUUAGUUUUCGGUUAAAUCCAUACGCUCAACGUAUGGGCUGCCGGGAAUACUGCAAAGCUAGGGAGUGGGAGAGGUAGACGGUACUCGGUAGGAAGGGGUAAAAUCCUUUGAUCUAUUGAUGACCACCUGUGGCGAAGGCGGUCUACCAGAACACGUCCGACGGUGAGGGAUGAAAGCUGGGGGAGCAAACCGGAUUAGAGACCCGAGUAGUCC